Long non-coding RNA from Cololabis saira (Pacific saury), 646 nucleotides. RefSeq lists it as uncharacterized. The record is from RefSeq and is a predicted model, not a curated record. NCBI's taxonomy places the organism in Eukaryota, Metazoa, Chordata, Actinopteri, Beloniformes, Belonidae. The transcript has 3 exons.
CGCUAAUGGUUUAACUUUUCACCGGUUCCUGCUCGGAGGCAGAACCUCCAAACAUCUGAGAUAACAAACAGUCGUCGGCUCGCGGCUGUAAGACGACCAAAUAUAACCUUCCACAUUAUCCCGAUGUCGAUGAGAGUCUGCUCCCUGCAUUUUCAUUCUGGAAAACCAGCAAAUUAAAUGUACAGCUCCCACCCAGACUGAGCCCCAUCUCUCAACCUGGGCCACACUAAGAUAAAUGUCACAUCGACUGCACGCUAUGAGAGAAGGGAAGGAGAAAACGGUGGAGGACUGACAGUACACCUGCGAUGGAUGACACAGUUAUGGAUGACCUUCUUCCAGCAGUGGAGACACCAGCACCAGUAGACGAUGGAGCUGACCAGAGACCGCUGACAGAAUGUGACUUCUGUCAUCGUCGGCAGGAUGAAAUCAAGCGGCUGCUGGAAGAGAACAGGGCCCUGAAACGGGAGCUCGGUCAGAGGAAAAUGGGUGAACAUUUCCUGAAGGAUGACAUCAACAAAGUGAAGUACUACACUGGACUUCCACACCUCGAAGUUGUCAUGGGUGUUCUAGCCUGUGUUGCAAAAAUGAGUGAUGCUAAAACCCACACUGAAAUAAAUGUGUCUGAAAUACAGCCAUAAGUGUCUGU